CAGAUCUCUACACGUAGUAGAUAGGUGUGCCAGACAUUUCCUGCCUACGCGCAAGCAGCCAUGAGUGGCUGUGGCGUGUUGGCUCCAGUUUUACUAGUAAUACUUCUAAGUGGCAUCGCCGCUGCACCAAUCAACCUUGUAUCUACAGGAGCCUAUAGUGUUUCUGGAGAAACAAGAGGGCUAGAGGUACCUAUGGAUCUCGUGGCGGGAGUCGGCAUUGGCAUGAGUUCAGUACAACUUGUUGUCAAUGUGCACACUGACAGCGCUGGAAAUAUUGAAGUUCAGACAAACUAAAGUAACAAAAGAAAAAGUGUAUAUAUAAAUAGCUUACGAAAUAAUACAGCUGAGUUGUAACAAUGUCUGUAAUCGUAAAAUACUUGAGAUGUUUAUAAUUUAACGUUUAAUGGACGUCGCAUCAAUUCGAUAUAAUUCAUAACACUUUCUCGCGUCACAACAAUUUGACAGAUAACAAUGUCUUACGGUGAUGCAUUAAUUACAGAAAUUAACGAACGUCAGGUUCAUAACCUUGUGAAAUAAUUAAAUCGGUUUUAACAAUGGUUAACGCCAUUUAUAAUUACGGAGCUUAAAACAGCCCACGAAUAAAGCUGUCAUUCAAUUUAAACAGAAUAUAAAAAUUGAAUGUUUUGAAGAAAAUGUAAUUGAAAUCCGAUAUAAAAUUGCGCAAUAAGGUCCAUAUAAGGUACAAUAAUGUUAUCUUUUGACAAGUGAACGGAAUUGAGUAUCAGCUUAUCAUUGUCGGCGAUAAAAGCAACGUUUCUAAAAUUGCUCACGACAUGUUAUAUCAAGCAUGUAUGUUGAUUUCUGCGUUUAAGAUCUGCUUUCAUACUUACGGUUGUAAAUAUGACAAGGUAGAUCGGUUAAUUGUUAUGAUUUUAUUUGCUUAAUUUAAUUGAGGAUUUGUAAGUGGCUAUUAAGCCAGUUUGUUUAUUAAUAUAUUAAUGUAAAAUGUUACGUUUCGUAGCAACUACGACUGGUUUGGAGACCGUAAUCAACGUCAGCGUUUGUAAUUUGUUAAUUUAAUUUAAGUUAAAUCACAAUUAACAAUCAUUUAAUUCGUACUUUUAUAUAAUAUUUUUAA
Molecule: long non-coding RNA, 1099 nt
Organism: Pieris brassicae (large cabbage white)
Lineage: Eukaryota; Metazoa; Arthropoda; Insecta; Lepidoptera; Pieridae
Exons: 2
Source: RefSeq, a predicted model, not a curated record